ACGCUUGCCUUGGCAGCACAUAUACCAGAAUUGAAACAAUACAGGGAAGAUAGGCACGGUCCCUGUGCAAGGAUGACAUGUAAAUUCACCAAGUGUUCCGUAGUUUU
Molecule: small nuclear RNA, 107 nt
Organism: Spermophilus dauricus (Daurian ground squirrel)
Lineage: Eukaryota; Metazoa; Chordata; Mammalia; Rodentia; Sciuridae
Source: Ensembl